GGGGAGCCCGGGCGCACGGGCCAGGCCGCGGGCUGUCCCAGGGAGCCCCGAGGGCGCGGUGCGCGGGCGCAGGGAAACGUUGUGUUCUGUUAGUCUUGGAGGCCAAGGCUGCGUGGGUUUAUCUCUGUGCCCCUCUAGUGACUUCAAAGAAUGCCAAAAGUCUCUGAGUGUACGUGUGUGCACACACAGACACACACAAAGUAGGAAUCCUUUACCUGGGGGACAGAGAUUUCUGUUAUUUUUGGUUGAAUCUGACCACCCCCCAAAGCCAUUCACUACUCCAGGGGUUUCCAUGGUGACAUAAGUCAGGUGAAAUAUUAAUGGACUCCUUGCCUAUUUUGCUCUUAGGAAUGCCAUAGUCUACAGCCCAAACAGCUUGGCUAGACCAUUUCCAGAUCACUGUGCCCACUAGCUGUUGCCAAUGAUUCUGGUUGAACGUGUUCACUAGUUCUUUUGAGGUGGCUGUAGAAUAGAAUGUAAUUAAGGAAGUAUAGCCUCUUCUGUAAUAGAGUCCUGAACAGCUUUAUGUUCAAAGAGUGUGCUACUUCUGCCGUGUUACUCUGAAGGAUUAACUCUUAAACAGUUCAGCAGUUUUCAGCCUACUCUAAGCUGCCAUGGAGUAUAUGGGAAACAAUAGGAAAAAUUGGGAUUAAGACUCAAAAAUCUGGAUUAAGAAGGGCAGGCCUUGCAUGUGUCCUAGGCUCAGCAAAGGGGUAAGAACUGGGAGUACAGAAAGGCAAAAAGUUCGGACUGGGACUGGCUCUACUUCUAGGCUGGAAUACAAAACUCAUUCCCAGAGAUGGAGUCUUGCUCUGUCCAGCCCAGGCUGGAGUGCAGUGGCACGAUCUAGGCUCACUGCAACCUCCGCCUCCUGGGUUCAAGUGAUUCUCCUGCCUCAGCCUCCCCAGUAGCUGGGAUUACAGUAUGCAUUCUUAGAAACCAGAUAUACAAAGACAAGAUCUCUGCUUUCAAGAAGCUCUCAGUCUGAUUGAGGAGAGGAACAGGUAGCAAAUAACGACAGCAGAGUGUGUCUCAGAUAUGUCUUUUUAUCAGCAGUAUGAAAACUAAUACAGUAUAUUGGUACCAGUGGAGUGGGGCGCUGAUGAAAAGAUACCCGAAAAUGUGGAAGCGACUUUGGAACUGGGUAACAGGCAGAGGUUGAAACAGUUUGGAGGGCUCAGAAGAAGACCAGAAAAUGUGGGAAAGUUUGGAACUUCCUAAAGACUUGUUGAAUGGCUUUGACAAAAAUGCUGAUACUGAUAUGGACAAUAAGGUCCAGGCUGAGGUGGUUUCAGAUAGAGAUGAGGAACUUGUAGGGAACUGGAGCAAAGAUGACUGUUGUUAUGUUUUAGCAAAGAGACUGAUGGCAUUUUGCCCCUGCCAUAGAGAUUUGUGGAACUUUGAACUUGAGAGAGAUGAUUUAGGGUAUCUGGCAGAAGAAAUUUCUAAGCAGCAAAGCAUUCAAGAGGUGAUUUGGGUGCUGUUAAAAGCAUUUCAUUUUAAAAGGGAAACAGCAUAAAAGUUUGGAAAAUUUGCAGCCAGUUGAUGCAGCAGAAGAGAGAAACCUGUUUUUUGAGGAGAAAUUCAAGCUGGCUGCAGAAAUUUGCAUAAGUUACAGGGAGCUGAAUGUUAAUCUCCAAGACAAUGGGGAAAAUGUCUCCAGAACAUGUCAUAGGUCUUCAUGGCAGCCCCUCCCAUCACAGACCCUGAAGACUAGGAGGAAAAAAUGGUUUUGUGGGCCAGGCCCAGGGUCCCCAUGCUGUGUGCAGCCUAGGGACUUGGUGCCCUGCAUCCCAGCUGCUCCAGCCAUUGCUAAAAGGGGCCAAGGUACAGCUCUGCCCAUGGUUUCAGAGGGUGCAAGCCCCAAACUGUGGCAGCUUCCAUGUGGUGUUGAGCCUGCAGGUGCAUGGAAGUCAAGAAUUGGGGUUUGGGAACCUCCACCUAGAUUUCAGAAGAUGUAUGGAAUCGCCUGGAUGCCCAGGCAAAAGUUUGCUGCAGGGGCAGGGCCCUCAUGGAGAACCUCUGCUAGCACAAUGUGAAGGGAAAUGUGGGGUCAGAGCCUCCACACAGAAUCCCUACUGGGGCACCGCCUAGUGGAGCUGUGCGAAGAGGGCCACCGUCCUCCAGAUCCCAGAAUGGUAGAUCCACCAACAGCUUGUACCGUGCACCUGGAAAAGUGGGAGACCCUCAAUGCCAGCCCAUGAAAGCAGCUAGGAGGUGGGGCUAUACCCUGCGAAGCCACAGGGGCAGAGCUGCCCAAGACUAUGGGAACCUACCUCUUGCAUCAGUGUGACCUGGACGUGAGACAUGGAGUCAGAGGAGAUCAUUUUGGAACGUUGUAAUUUGACUGCCCCGCUGGAUUUUGGACUUGCACGGGGCCUGUAAUGCCUUUCUUUUGGGCAGUUUCUCCCAUUUGGAAUGGCUGUAUUUACCCAAUACCUGUACCCCCGUUGUAUGUAGGAAGUAACUAGCUUGCUUUUGAUUUUACAGGAUCAUGGGUGGAAGGUACUUGCCUUGUCUCAGAUGAGACUUUGAACUAUGGACUUUUGGGUUAAUGCUGAGAUGAGUUAAGACUUUGGGGAACUGUUUGGAAGGCAUGACUGGUUUUGAAAUGUGAGAACAUGAGAUUUGGAGGGGCCAGGAGCAGAAUGAUAUGGUUUGGCUGUGCCCCCACCCAAAUCUCAACUUGAAUUGUUAUCGCCCAGAAUUCCCAGGUGCUGUGGGAGGGACCCAGGGGGUGGUAAUUGAAUCAUGGGGGCUGGCCUUUUCCAUGCUAUUCUUGUUAUAGUGAAUAAGUCUCAGGAGAUCUGAUGGGUUUAUCAGGGGUUUCUGCUUUUGCUUCUCUCUCAUUUUCUCUUGCCGCUGCCAUAUAAGAAGUGCCUUUUGCCUCCCACCAUGAUUCUGAGGCCUCCCCAGCCAUGUGCAACUGUGAAGUUCAAUUAAACCUCUUUUUCUCCCCAGUCUCGGGUAUGUCUUUAUCAGCAGUGUGAAAAUGGACUAGUACGAUCACCCUCUUCUUUGUUCUCCUUUCUAUUUCAUCUCUAAUUUUUCUGGCAUUUGGGGGGUAUUAUACAUUGCAAAAGUUGGGGACUCACUAAUUCCACUACUCACUGCAUAUCAAGGUAAUCUGUCAGGGGUUUGGUUUUUAUAUAGGAAACAAAUGAGUCCCCAGAACAUACAAGUUAAGAUUAUUCAAUCAAGGGAGGCAGUCAUUACCCUUUAACCUCUGAAAGAAAACUGCAGGUAGGCAUCAAACUAACCCUGAGAUAGGAGAGAGUAGAAAUUCCCACACCCAGUGAAUUAUAGGACAUUAGGUAAUUAUUGGUGGGAAGUAUAUUUGGGUGGGGAACUGAAUUUCAACUGACUUUUAUCCUUGAAGAUGGUGCUUCUAUUUUCUCAAGUUAGAAGGUUAUGAAAAUUGCAUCUGAACAACAAGUUGUAUUAGUAUAAGUUCUAGAAGAAACUGAGAAAGCAAGGCUAGUCUGAGGAAAAUUUAUAUUGCUCACAUUUCCCUUCUGAAUUGGAGAAUAGAAUUGAAUAGCAAAAUUGUAACCUACCUUUCAAAGAUGUAUUGUAUAGUAAAGUAUAUUUUGUGAAUUUUUAUACCUUCUAUUCUUAUUUUUCUAUUGCCCUAUUUUAAAAUCUAUCUUGAAUUUAUUUUAUUAAAUGUAUAUGUCUCUGUGUAUA
Molecule: long non-coding RNA, 3687 nt
Organism: Symphalangus syndactylus (siamang)
Lineage: Eukaryota; Metazoa; Chordata; Mammalia; Primates; Hylobatidae
Source: RefSeq, a predicted model, not a curated record